RNAcentral lists this ribosomal RNA (576 nucleotides) under uncultured eukaryote. RNAcentral describes it as "SSU rRNA". It matches the Rfam family "Eukaryotic small subunit ribosomal RNA", at positions 203 to 786 of the family's 1831-position model. The record is from RNAcentral.
UUUGUUACUUCAAACCAAUCGGACUUCGGUCUGACAUCAAGUGAUAUUGAACAAUUUAGCUGAUCGCACGGUCUAAGAACCGGCGACAUAUCCUUCAAAUGUCUGCCUUAUCAACUUUCGAUGGUAGAUUAUGCGCCUACCAUGGUUGUAACGGGUAACGGAGAAUCAGGGUUUGAUUCCGGAGAGGGAGCCUGAGAAACGGCUACCACAUCCAAGGAAGGCAGCAGGCACGCAAAUUACCCACUCCCGGCACGGGGAGGUAGUGACGAAAAAUAACAAGCUGGUCUCAAUGAGUUCCAGCAUUGUAAUGGGACCAAUUUAAAUCUUUUAUCGAGGAUCUAUUGGAGGGCAAGUCUGGUGCCAGCAGCCGCGGUAAUUCCAGCUCCAAUAGCGUAUAUUAAAGUUGUUGCGGUUAAAAAGCUCGUAGUUGGAUCUAGGGUUAGGGCUACAGUCGUUCAGCUUGGACGUACUGUAUGCCCGACUCCUUUUCUCUAGUAUUCGAUUGUUGCUCUUAAAUGAGUGACUUUAGUUGCUGGAACUUUUACCUUGAAAAAAUUGAAGUGCUCAAAGCAGGUU